Molecule: ribosomal RNA, 343 nt
Filed under: uncultured bacterium
Lineage: Bacteria
Description: bacterial SSU rRNA
Rfam family: Bacterial small subunit ribosomal RNA
Source: RNAcentral
GACGAACGCUGGCGGCGUGCUUAACACAUGCAAGUCGAACGGAAAGGCCCUUUCGGGGGGUACUCGAGUGGCGAACGGGUGAGUAACACGUGGGUGAUCUGCCCUGCACUUUGGGAUAAGCCUGGGAAACUGGGUCUAAUACCGAAUACACCCUGCUGGUCGCAUGGCCUGGUGGGGGAAAGCUUUGCGGUGUGGGAUGGGCCCGCGGCCUAUCAGCUUGUUGGUGGGGUGAUGGCCUACCAAGGCGACGACGGGUAGCCGGCCUGAGAGGUGUCCGGCCACACUGGGACUGAGAUACGGCCCAGACUCCUACGGGAGGCAGCAGUGGGGAAUAUUGCACAAU